ACGAGAGGCCCAAACGUUAUUCGGAUUUACUGGGCUUAAAGAGUCCGUAGGCGGCGCAGAAAGUGGGGUGUGAAAUCCCUCGGCUCAACCGAGGAAUUGCGCUCCAAACUCCUGUGCUUGAGGAACCUAGAGGUGAGCGGAACUGAUGGUGGAGCGGUGAAAUGCGUUGAUAUCAUCAGGAACACCGGAGGCGAAGGCGGCUCACUGGGGGUUUUCUGACGCUGAGGGACGAAAGCCAGGGGAGCGAACGGGA
This 253-nucleotide ribosomal RNA is filed under the name uncultured prokaryote. Its description in RNAcentral is "partial 16S ribosomal RNA". It matches the Rfam family "Bacterial small subunit ribosomal RNA", at positions 525 to 777 of the family's 1533-position model. The record is from RNAcentral.